Molecule: ribosomal RNA, 253 nt
Filed under: uncultured bacterium
Lineage: Bacteria
Description: partial 16S ribosomal RNA
Rfam family: Bacterial small subunit ribosomal RNA
Source: RNAcentral
UACGUAGGGAGCAAGCGUUGUUCGGAUUUACUGGGCGUAAAGAGCUCGUAGGCGGCUCGUCGCGUCGACCGUGAAAACCCGCAGCUUAACUGCGGGCUUGCGGUUGAUACGGGCGGGCUAGAGUUCGGUAGGGGAGACUGGAAUUCCUGGUGUAGCGGUGAAAUGCGCAGAUAUCAGGAGGAACACCGGUGGCGAAGGCGGGUCUCUGGGCCGAUACUGACGCUGAGGAGCGAAAGCGUGGGGAGCGAACAGG